RNAcentral lists this ribosomal RNA (492 nucleotides) under uncultured bacterium. RNAcentral's name for it is "partial 16S ribosomal RNA". It matches the Rfam family "Bacterial small subunit ribosomal RNA", at positions 29 to 507 of the family's 1533-position model. The record is from RNAcentral.
AGUGAACGCUGGCGGUAGGCCUAACACAUGCAAGUCGAACGGCAGCACAGUAAGAGCUUGCUCUUACGGGUGGCGAGUGGCGGACGGGUGAGGAAUACAUCGGAAUCUACUUUUUCCCCCCCCCCCCCCCCCCCCCACCUCCCCUCACACCGCAUACCACCUACGGGUGCAAGCCGGGCACCUUCGGCCCUUGCGCGCUUCAAUGAGCCGAGGUCGGAUUAGCUAGUUGGCGGGGUAACGGCCCACCAAGGCGACGAGCCGUAGCUGGGCUGCGAGGAUGAUCAGCCACACUGGAACUGAGACACGGUCCAGACGCCUACGGGAGGCAGCAGUGGGGAAUAUUGGACAAUGGGCGCAAGCCUGAUCCAGCCAUACCGCGUGGGUGAAGAAGGCCUUCGGGUUGUAAAGCCCUUUUGUUGGGAAAGAAAAGCAGCAGGUUAAUACCCCGCUGUUCUGACGGUACCCAAAGAAUAAGCACCGGCUAACUUCGUG